CAAUCCUGGGAAAGGAGAGAGAGAUUAGGCAUGAAGAUCAGAAGGGCAAAGCCAUCUCUGGUUACACCGAGUUCAAGGGCAGCCUGAGCUUCAAGAGACCCCAUCUCAAAAGGGGACAGGUGAAGUGGUGCACACUGAGGUAGAGAUGAAGACAACCAGGAGUCCAAGGCCACCUCUGGCUACUACGUGGAGUUACAACCACCUGUAUCAGAAACCCAAGAACAGAGAAUAUGGAGG
This is a non-coding RNA of Peromyscus maniculatus bairdii (prairie deer mouse), 237 nucleotides long. The record is from RefSeq and is a predicted model, not a curated record. NCBI's taxonomy places the organism in Eukaryota, Metazoa, Chordata, Mammalia, Rodentia, Cricetidae.